Molecule: ribosomal RNA, 437 nt
Filed under: Listeria monocytogenes
Lineage: Bacteria; Bacillati; Bacillota; Bacilli; Caryophanales; Listeriaceae
Description: partial 23S ribosomal RNA
Rfam family: Bacterial large subunit ribosomal RNA
Source: RNAcentral
AUAGAUUAAGUUAUUAAGGGCGCACGGUGGAUGCCUUGGCACUAGAAGCCGAUGAAGGACGUUACUAACGACGAUAUGCUUUGGGUAGCUGUAAGUAAGCGUUAAUCCAGAGAUUUCCGAAUGGGGGAACCCAGCAUGAGUUAUGUCAUGUUAUCGACAUGUGAAUUUAUAGCAUGUCAGAAGGCAGACCCGGAGAACUGAAACAUCUUAGUACCCGGAGGAAGAGAAAGAAAAAUCGAUUCCCUGAGUAGCGGCGAGCGAAACGGGAAGAGCCCAAACCAACAAGCUUGCUUGUUGGGGUUGUAGGACACUCUAUACGGAGUUACAAAAGAACAUGUUAGACGAAUCAUCUGGAAAGAUGAAUCAAAGAAGGUAAUAAUCCUGUAGUCGAAAACAUAUUCUCUCUUGAGUGGAUCCUGAGUACGACGGAGCACGUG